GGCUUUAAGGAAAAAAUAAAAAAAUGUAAUUAUAUCUCAUUUUUUAUUUACCUUUUUGAAGAUUUGCAUUUUUCUUUUGUUGUUGCCGGAAAAUAAAAA
This 99-nucleotide non-coding RNA is filed under the name Polytomella parva. The record is from RNAcentral. Lineage: Eukaryota; Viridiplantae; Chlorophyta; Chlorophyceae; Chlamydomonadales; Chlamydomonadaceae.